CAGCUUGUUGGUGAGGUAAUGGCUCACCAAGGCGUCGACGGGUAGCCGGCCUGAGAGGGUGACCGGCCACACUGGGACUGAGACACGGCCCAGACUCCUACGGGAGGCAGCAGUGGGGAAUAUUGCACAAUGGGCGGAAGCCUGAUGCAGCAACGCCGCGUGAGGGAUGACGGCCUUCGGGUUGUAAACCUCUUUUAGCAAGGAAGAAGCGAAAGUGACGGUACUUGCAGAAAAAGCGCCGGCUAACUACGUGCCAGCAGCCGCGGUAAUACGUAGGGCGCAAGCGUUAUCCGGAAUUAUUGGGCGUAAAGAGCUCGUAGGCGGUUUGUCGCGUCUGCUGUGAAAACUGGAGGCUCAACCUCCAGCCUGCAGUGGGUACGGGCAGACUAGAGUGCGGUAGGGGAGAUUGGAAUUCCUGGUGUAGCGGUGGAAUGCGCAGAUAUCAGGAGGAACACCGAUGGCGAAGGCAGAUCUCUGGGCCGUAACUGACGCUGAGGAGCGAAAGGGUGGGGAGCAAACAGGCUUAGAUACCCUGGUAGUCCACCCCGU
RNAcentral lists this ribosomal RNA (549 nucleotides) under Microbacterium sp. RNAcentral describes it as "bacterial SSU rRNA". It matches the Rfam family "Bacterial small subunit ribosomal RNA", at positions 242 to 803 of the family's 1533-position model. The record is from RNAcentral. Lineage: Bacteria; Bacillati; Actinomycetota; Actinomycetes; Micrococcales; Microbacteriaceae.